AGCAGAGAGAAGGGCUAGGGAUGGGAGAAGAGGGGAGAGGACGCUUAGGACAAGUAUUAGGUGCGUUAAAAAGCACUAGAUGAGGAGCGGGACGAGCCAGUUGGGGCCGCGUUCUGUCAUCAGUCAGCUGGUUGAUAUGUGACUUUGAGGCAAUCCCUUCCCCUCCCUAUGUCUGUUUUCUCAUUUGUAAUUUGUGAAUAAUACUUAUUCCACCCACCACAUGGGACUCUAAUGAGGAUAAUGAAUGAAUGUGCAAGUACUUUGAUAAAUGUCAAUCCCCGCAAGCAUGUUAAAGUGUUGGCUUGAAGAUCAUUUCAUUGUUUACCCAGUUGACUCCAUCUUCUUGAGGGAAUAUCUCCUGAAAGUGUCAGACUCCUGUGGGAGAGAACUGAGACAUACCACUGAAGUGCUAACAAGACCUUGGUGCUGAAGGGAAGGAGGUUGUAUUAUGAAGUAACACUCCCUGGAGGCAGAAGUAGAGCUGUGCGGGGCAGGGGAACUUGGAAGGUGAACACUAUUCCCCCUUGGCAUAGGGAGGGGCCAGGGCACCUCCUGUUAUGUGUGGAGAUCACAAAGUGGCAAGAGGAGUAAAGUGAUUAUUGUGAUUAGCCUCUCAAGUUCCGUAGGAAAUAAAGGAUCUCGUCCAGUGGAGGAGGGCUCUUCACAUUUCUUAGAGAUUGUUUUUUUCCUAAUUCUUCUGCUCACUUCUCCAGGGUAGAAGGGGAUGUAAGGACGUAGAGUGAAUCCUCUUUUUACUAAAACAGAUUACAUAUUACAGGGCUUAAUACGUGUGAAAUAAUUAACCCAGAUCUAGAUAUUGAUUGGGCAGCUGGAAAAGGAGAGAAUUCAGGAGGAGGUCGGAGUUAGAGAUGCUGGCUGAGAAGUUCCCAUUUGAGUGAGGAAUGGGAGGGCAGAGAAUAGAGCAUGGAAAACACCUCCAUUUAGGAGCAGAGGCAAGAAGGGGAGAAAGAAGGAAUUGUCAGAAAAAUAAGAGAACCUUGAGAAUGGAGUGUUUUGAGGUACAAGGGAAGAGAGAUGUCAAGAAGCGGUCUGUAGUGUCAGACACUGAAGUGAGGAUGAGCAUUGGGAAAAGGCCAUUGGAUUUGCCCCAAGGGCAGUCACAUGACCUUGGAGCACUUGGAGAGAGUGUGAAAAGUAAAACCUGGUUGCACAGAGUUAAGGCGUAAGUGGUCAGUAAGGAAACAGAGAUGGGGGUGUGCACUGUUUUCUGAAGAAGGACUGAAAUAAGGUAGAGCAGGGUAGAUGAAAAGUGGGCUUGAGUUAUCAGGGAGGGCUUCAUGGAAAGUGGUGAACGUUCUCUUAGUCCUGGAAGGGUAGGUUGGGUUGAAUUUAAAUAGGUGGAGAGAAAGGGCAGGAGAGUCCAUAACCAUGUCUCAUUCUUUUUGGUAUCCCUGUAACUCCACCGUUCCCAGUAUGGGGUAUUGAAUGAUCCCUGCAGCUACACAGUGAAUGUUUUUGGGGAAUGUUGUGUAGGUCAGACAGGCUGGAAUAGAGGGUUUAGGCUGAGGAAUAGAGGAGAGUUAGAUUUUAAAGAGAGAUUUGGGCCACAUUAUAGAAGACCGUACAUGACUUGUCCAGGGAGAUGCCAUUCUAGGCAGUACCCUAUCCAAUGGCUAGUGGCUAGAUAUGGGAGAUUUGAGUAGAAGAAUGGCAUAGCAGAGCAAAUAUUUUAGAAUGACCUGAACAAUUGGGGUAUGCAGGAUGGAUUGAGAGGACAAAAGGUUCAAACUGGAGUAGGCCAAAAAAAAAAAAAAAUUGGAGUAUGCAAAGCCAUAGAAUUAAAUUAGCUCGUUUCUCUAGAGAAUUUGGUUUGAUUUGGGUGAGGUAGGAAAAUAUACAAAUACAAAUAUGUAAGUAUGGUAGAAUACAAUAUUUGAAUAGUUUAAGACAAACGUAAGACUCUUCUGAAGGAAUUUUACGUUCAUAGUGCCCCACCCCCUCCCAGCCUGGAUGCCUCUGGGUUUUGCAUUCACUCUCCAGUGCCUACAGGAGUACUUUGUAGGCAGCGUUUGAGAGGCACUGAAUUAGAUCAUAAAAAUUCAGGCGUGAAGGGGGUGACAUGGUUGCAUAAGGCAUUCCUUCUUUAAUCUCCCUUUUUAACCGACAGUUUAGACAUCUAAACAUGAACAAAGGUGCUUUGGUGGGUCUUUUGGGAGACCCAAGAGAAGACUCACCCACCACUGCAACUGGUAAGAGACAGACACACCUCCGUAUAGGCAAGGAACCAAUAGAGCCAGCAAAACUGCCUAUACCCCUCUCACUGCUGUAGGGCAAAAAUCAGGUGAGUGCUGCCCUGGGCAGUUACUCACACACAGAACUUGCAGAAGUCCAGCCUUCCCGAAGGGAGACUCUGGCACACCGUUGGAGAAAAAGAAAAAUACGAGUUUGCUUGCAGCCGAGGUGUGUGUCCAUGAGAGCGAGCUCUGCUAGACCAGGAGCCCACUCAAAACAGGUCCUGUUGAUGGGCAGGGAAGAAACCACAAACUUGGUUUCCACCUUCUGGGGAAAAAAGGUGUGCAGCCAACCUGGUGAAUUGUAAGAAUCAGAGAAGACACAAAAGCUUAAAAAUUUGGCUACAAGACACAGCAAGAAGAGUGGAGCACAAACACAUAGGAAAAACCGAGAUAAUAUCAAAACCAUAGAACAUAAUACCCCAUCUGCUGACGGUAAUGAGCACAGAGUUUAGGACGUAUCCGCUACUUCAGAUUCAAAAGCACCAGCAUGUACCAGGAAUAUGGAAAAUCAAGGAAAUAUGGCAUCACAAAAAGAAAAUGACAGUUCUCUAGCAACCGUGCUCAAAGGCACAGAAUAUUAUGAUCUGACUGACAAAGAAUUCAGAAUAGCAGUUAUAAAGAAACUCAAUGAAUUUUACAAGAAGACUCAGGCAACUCAGUAAAAUCAGGAAUAAAAUAUGUUAACAUAAUGACUUCUUUUCAAAGAGAUUGAAAUUUUAAAAAACAAAACAAAUCGUAGAGCUGAAGAAGUCAGUGGAUGAGAUGAAGAAUGCAAUAGAGAGCAGCUAUAGCAGGGGAGACCAUAUGGAAGAAAGAAUAAGUGACUUCGGGAGAAAGGAAUUUUGAAAUAACACAGAAGAGAUGAAAGAACAGAAAUUUUAAAAGAGCAAAGCAAGCUUAUGUGAGUUAUGAGAUUGAAACAAGAAAGCACAAAUAUCAGAAUAAUUGGGCUUCUAGAAGGAGAAGGGGACAAAGAGUUUAAGAAAUAAUAGCUGAGAACUUUCCAAACCCAGGGAAAGUCUUGGACAUACAUGUCCAUGAAGCUAAUAGAUCACCCUAUAAUCUCAAUGCAAAAAAGACGUUCUCCAAGACACAUUAUAAUGAAACUGUCAAAAAUCAAUGAUAAAGAAUCUUAAAAGCAGCCAGGGAAAACAAGAAUGUAACCUACAAAGGAACCCCUAUUAGGCUCUCAGCAGAUUUCCUA
Delphinapterus leucas (beluga whale) is the source of this 3459-nucleotide non-coding RNA. Lineage: Eukaryota; Metazoa; Chordata; Mammalia; Artiodactyla; Monodontidae. The record is from RefSeq and is a predicted model, not a curated record.